Molecule: ribosomal RNA, 883 nt
Filed under: Metarhizium macrosemiae
Lineage: Eukaryota; Fungi; Ascomycota; Sordariomycetes; Hypocreales; Clavicipitaceae
Description: Metarhizium sp. YL-2021a partial large subunit ribosomal RNA
Rfam family: Eukaryotic large subunit ribosomal RNA
Source: RNAcentral
GCAUAUCAAUAAGCGGAGGAAAAGAAACCAACAGGGAUUGCCCCAGUAACGGCGAGUGAAGCGGCAACAGCUCAAAUUUGAAAUCUGGCCCCUAGGGCCCGAGUUGUAAUUUGCAGAGGAUGCUUUUGGCGAGGUGCCUUCCGAGUUCCCUGGAACGGGACGCCAUAGAGGGUGAGAGCCCCGUCUGGUUGGAUGCCGAGCCUCUGUAAAGCUCCUUCGACGAGUCGAGUAGUUUGGGAAUGCUGCUCUAAAUGGGAGGUAUAUGUCUUCUAAAGCUAAAUACCGGCCAGAGACCGAUAGCGCACAAGUAGAGUGAUCGAAAGAUGAAAAGCACUUUGAAAAGAGGGUUAAAUAGUACGUGAAAUUGUUGAAAGGGAAGCGCUUAUGACCAGACUUGGACCCGGUGAAUCAUCCAGCGUUCUCGCUGGUGCACUUUGCCGGGCUCAGGCCAGCAUCAGUUUGCCUUGGGGGAUAAAGGCUUUGGGAAUGUGGCUCCCUCGGGAGUGUUAUAGCCCAUUGCACAAUACCCUGGGGCGGACUGAGGUUCGCGCAUCUGCAAGGAUGCUGGCGUAAUGGUCAUCAGCGACCCGUCUUGAAACACGGACCAAGGAGUCGUCUUCGUAUGCGAGUGUUCGGGUGUAAAACCCCUACGCGUAAUGAAAGUGAACGCAGGUGAGAGCUUCGGCGCAUCAUCGACCGAUCCUGAUGUUCUCGGAUGGAUUUGAGUAAGAGCAUACGGGGCCGGACCCGAAAGAAGGUGAACUAUGCCUGUAUAGGGUGAAGCCAGAGGAAACUCUGGUGGAGGCUCGCAGCGGUUCUGACGUGCAAAUCGAUCGUCAAAUAUGGGCAUGGGGGCGAAAGACUAAUCGAACCUUCUAGUAGC